AACCCUAUUGCCUAAUGGUUAAGGCGCCAGAUUUCGGUUAAACCAUAUCUCUGGAGAUUGGGAGUUCGAAUCUUCCCUGGGUCG
Stipitochalara longipes BDJ is the source of this 84-nucleotide non-coding RNA. The record is from the annotation of a GenBank genome assembly. NCBI's taxonomy places the organism in Eukaryota, Fungi, Ascomycota, Leotiomycetes, Helotiales, Hamatocanthoscyphaceae.